RNAcentral lists this long non-coding RNA (233 nucleotides) under Gossypium barbadense (sea-island cotton). Its description in RNAcentral is "long non-coding RNA (GBAR_LNC009351)". Lineage: Eukaryota; Viridiplantae; Streptophyta; Magnoliopsida; Malvales; Malvaceae. The record is from RNAcentral.
UUGGUUUUCACAGUUAUUUUAUGGUGUUUAUGGAAAUGUUGAAAUAAAAGAAAUUUACAGGCUGUGCUUGAUUCACCGAAGCAGGUGCAUUUGAUUGCAAGGAAAUUUGCUUAGGAUGUUUCUGGGCGUGGCAGCCUGUUAUUUCGAGGGUUCACCGUGAGCGUAAAUAGAUAGCUUGGAAACGUCCCCCAUUGGAUUAUUGUAUUCUUAAUACGGAAAGUGCGGUGCGGACU